This 725-nucleotide ribosomal RNA is filed under the name Porticoccaceae bacterium. RNAcentral's name for it is "bacterial SSU rRNA". It matches the Rfam family "Bacterial small subunit ribosomal RNA", at positions 28 to 749 of the family's 1533-position model. Lineage: Bacteria; Pseudomonadati; Pseudomonadota; Gammaproteobacteria; Cellvibrionales; Porticoccaceae. The record is from RNAcentral.
AUUGAACGCUGGCGGCAGGCCUAACACAUGCAAGUCGAGCGUGAAAGUUCCUUCGGGAGCGAGUAGAGCGGCGGACGGGUGAGUAACGCGUAGGAAUCUACCCAGUAGUGGGGGACAACUCGAGGAAACUCGAGCUAAUACCGCAUACGCCCUAAGGGGGAAAGCAGGGGAUCUUCGGACCUUGUGCUAUUGGAUGAGCCUGCGUCGGAUUAGCUAGUUGGUGGGGUAAUGGCCUACCAAGGCGACGAUCCGUAGCUGGUCUGAGAGGAUGAUCAGCCACACUGGGACUGAGACACGGCCCAGACUCCUACGGGAGGCAGCAGUGGGGAAUAUUGGACAAUGGGGGCAACCCUGAUCCAGCCAUGCCGCGUGUGUGAAGAAGGCCUUCGGGUUGUAAAGCACUUUCAGCAGGGAGGAAAAGCUAAUGGCUAAUAACCAUUAGCCCUGACGUUACCUGCAGAAGAAGCACCGGCAAACUCCGUGCCAGCAGCCGCGGUAAUACGGAGGGUGCGAGCGUUAAUCGGAAUUACUGGGCGUAAAGCGCGCGUAGGCGGUUUGAUUAGCUGGAUGUGAAAGCCCCGGGCUCAACCUGGGAAUUGCAUCCAGAACUGUCAGACUAGAGUACAGUAGAGGUGAGUGGAAUUUCCUGUGUAGCGGUGAAAUGCGUAGAUAUAGGAAGGAACAUCAGUGGCGAAGGCGGCUCACUGGACUGAUACUGACGCUGA